UGGGGUGUAGCUCUAUAGUAGAGCACUUGCCUAGCAUGUACAAGGCCCUGGGUUCCAUCCCCAGCACUACAA
This 72-nucleotide transfer RNA is filed under the name Heterocephalus glaber (naked mole-rat). It matches the Rfam family "tRNA". Rfam says of the family: Transfer RNA (tRNA) molecules are approximately 80 nucleotides in length. The record is from Rfam by way of RNAcentral. Lineage: Eukaryota; Metazoa; Chordata; Mammalia; Rodentia; Bathyergidae.